Molecule: ribosomal RNA, 253 nt
Filed under: uncultured bacterium
Lineage: Bacteria
Description: partial 16S ribosomal RNA
Rfam family: Bacterial small subunit ribosomal RNA
Source: RNAcentral
UACGGAGGGGGCUAGCGUUGUUCGGAAUUACUGGGCGUAAAGCGCGCGUAGGCGGACCUGCAAGUCGGGGGUGAAAGCCCGAGGCUCAACCUCGGAACUGCCUACGAUACUGCGGGUCUCGAGUCCGGGAGAGGUGAGUGGAACUGCGAGUGUAGAGGUGAAAUUCGUAGAUAUUCGCAAGAACACCAGUGGCGAAGGCGGCUCACUGGCCCGGUACUGACGCUGAGGUGCGAAAGCGUGGGGAGCAAACAGG